AGAAAAUAAGGACAAAUAAGACUUUCUCCAAAUAUCCUGGGAUGAAGGACACUGAAGGGAAAUUCUCACUUUUGGUACCUAGCCGCCAUACCAUGAGGAAGCCUAGGUCGACUGCAGGACGACCCACACUGACAGGUCCACAGCCCUGAUGAGCCCUUGGGUGGUGGCAAGCACCAAUUUGCCGUCUUGAAAUCGGGUCCUGCGGAUCCUAGUCAAGCAGCCCCAAAUGAUGCUGUGAGGAAGAACCCACAGAGAAGUAUAGCAAUAAUUUGUGGAUGGGGCUUUAAAGCAGUCACCUUUUGCAGGACACCUGCUUCUUUAAGAUAGUUGUAAGAAGACUACAGGCUACAUUUUCACCUCUGAAGUCAUGAAAAUAUGGUAGUAAUUAUCCAAGAUUUUUAACCAUAGUGCAAGAUAUCAAGAAGUUUUAAAUAAAGAAGAGAACGAGGUAACUUUUUGAUCUUUGGGUAAUCAGGAAACGACAAGAGUUUCUGAACCAAACUAUAUUAAUCUCUUAAGUUUUCUGCUUUAUUUGAAAAUUAGGCCACUGCUUCUUUGGCUCCCUGAUUUCCCAGAGCACCCUCAUCCUGAGUGUUUUCCUCCAGUAAACACUGGGCUCACCUAUUGGUUUAUUUUUAUCAUUUAAAAAAUCAAACUGCAAUCACGAGUCACGUGUUUGGCAGCCUUCUGUCUUAAAGAAGCAGCACCAGCAUACCUGAAGCCCAGGUGAGCAGAGCUCUGGCCUCAAGACGACAGGGUUGCAGCAGAAGUAGGAACAUAAUGGGCCUUGGAAGGGAAGCCUAUGCAGUGUACGUGGCCAGCACACAUCGCCACAUGAAAUGAUGGCAUCUAGAGGCAGGGGCAGCACUAGAUGUGGUUCCCGUUAGUCCUGCGGAGCACUUUCUGAACUAGAAGAUGAUCUACAAAUAUGAGUUGUUGAAUAAACUGGUCUCAGUGAGAUGUUGCAGUAGUUCAGGCAGUGCUUACGUACCCUGGAGCCAACUCUCAUGUAUGCUAAGAUUGCAAUGAAGAUCAAACAGGACGACAGUCACCAUCAGUGAUGUCCGCUAUAUUAAAGUGAAUAAAAUGGUGGCCUUUGCCAAAAAGCACAGAAGGGCAAUAUGUCAUCCUAAGUCGAUCUAAGUAAAAAGUCAGCAAAAUACCUCAAUCCCUCCCCCUACACAUAUGUGAAGCGGUUUGCUGGUCCAGGUCUUGCAGAUGAGGAAAUGAGAUGAAAAAAGUUUACUAGAGACUGUGUCUUCCUGCUGCCUCCUUGCUGCCUGGCCGCUUGGAUACACCCACUUCCUGUGUGACCACACUCUCCCUGGCCACAGGUAUUGGGCCAAGGUAAAUGCUUGCUAGGGACCCCAGGACUCCAGGAGAUUGGUCUGGUAGGAAAGCAUGAGCUAUUGCAAUCUGAUCUUUCCUCUCUGGACAUGGAAU
Molecule: long non-coding RNA, 1443 nt
Organism: Leopardus geoffroyi (Geoffroy's cat)
Lineage: Eukaryota; Metazoa; Chordata; Mammalia; Carnivora; Felidae
Exons: 3
Source: RefSeq, a predicted model, not a curated record